CUAGGACAGCUGGGGCAGCUGGGGCAGCUGGGGCAGCCUGGGCAGUCUCCAUAUCUGCAGUUGGAGGGACUAUGCUCAAGCCAUACCAAAUUCCAGCUGACUGACCUUGAGUGAGUCUCAAAGGUCCCUUUUCCUCGGGUUUUCCUGAAGGACACAGCCCUCGCUACAUGGGUUCAUGGUACGGAUCCUGUAAGACAACAUGCUCAUAACAUAACAUAACAUAACAUAACAUAACAUAACAUAACAUAGCAUAAUGUAACAUAGCAUAGCAUAGCUCCUAAGAGCGGCUAGCACAUAUAGGAACUGAUAACUCGGUCCGCCCUGCUGCCUCCUGACUCUUCUGGAACAUAAGAUGGAAACAGAUGUUCCUUCCCAGUGCCCCGUGCCCUCUGUUCUCAUAACAGGCCUUUGAGGGUGUGGCCAGACUGAGAGAACUACUCCCAGCUCCCAGGAGAACAGAGCAAGCUCCAGGCAGGACAGACAGGAGGUCUGCUAAGACUGAGUGACCGAUCGGUAGGAGCAGCAGAACCCAGAAAUG
This 538-nucleotide long non-coding RNA is filed under the name Androctonus crassicauda. The record is from RNAcentral. Lineage: Eukaryota; Metazoa; Arthropoda; Arachnida; Scorpiones; Buthidae.